This 289-nucleotide small RNA is filed under the name Morganella psychrotolerans. RNAcentral's name for it is "5' ureB small RNA". It matches the Rfam family "5' ureB small RNA". The record is from RNAcentral. Lineage: Bacteria; Pseudomonadati; Pseudomonadota; Gammaproteobacteria; Enterobacterales; Morganellaceae.
CUGCUGUGGUGAAAUCAGGUGAAUGUGUGUAUCAAUACCCGCGGCGGUCAGAAUAAGAUGCUCGCCGGAAAUAGCAUCUGUUGACACACCGGCAACCAUCCCCGGGGUAAUACCAUCCUGGAGAUUCGGGUUUCCGCUCUUACCGAUACCGACGAUUUUGCCGUCUUUUACACCAACGUCCGCUUUGAUAACACCUAAUUUGGCAUCAAGAAUCGUCACGUUAGUGAUAACCAGAUCGAGCACACCGUUAUCACUGGUCAGGGUAUUGUUUGCACCCAUUCCGUCACGC